GCGAAUAUACGUCGCGUUUCACAACUGCUCUGCCUCUCUCGUGAGCUGUUCGUCUCUCUCUCUCUCUCUCUCUCUCUCUCACUCUCUCUCCCCUUCUCUGGCUUUCGUUUCCUCCGGCUGAGCAGACAAGUGUCCAAGCUGUUUUGCCUCACGCUAUUCUACAUGCGCGAGUGCCGGAGGUCCGCCACCGCUGCAGUCGCUUAUAGGGAAGACAUUUACCAGACCAGAUGAACAGCUGAUCAAUCAGGGUGAGAGAUGCUAGCGUGCGUGUACCCGGCCGAAAGUUUCAAGUCGAGAAUGGUGACGCUGCGGCUGAGGCAGCAUUCACGGCCAUCCAAGAGACGUAGCGCCAAAAUCGUCUCCGUCAAGGAGAGAAUCGACCACAGAGCCGAGCAGACCGUUGUUAAUAACAAUGAGUUACCAGUGGGCGGGGGCGGGUGCCGUGCUGGUGCUCAGCGAACUUGAAAGCAUGGCGUCGCGCCAGCAGCGGGAGAUCGCCCAGCAACGCCGACUCCUCGAGCAGCGAGAGGCUCGGCUCGCCGUCCUUCGCGGAG
Long non-coding RNA from Phymastichus coffea, 554 nucleotides. RefSeq lists it as uncharacterized. The transcript has 3 exons. NCBI's taxonomy places the organism in Eukaryota, Metazoa, Arthropoda, Insecta, Hymenoptera, Eulophidae. The record is from RefSeq and is a predicted model, not a curated record.